UCUACACCCAAAGACUCGCGCAUAUGGUGGACUCCUUGGUCCGUGUUUCAAGACGGGUCAUAUAAAAUCAUUAAGCCAACAACCUAAGCAAAUUAAAAGAACACCAAACGAGUUGAAAAAAAUAAUAAAAGCACCACCCGAAGCAGAAAUUCUCUCAUUAUUUUCCCCAAGCGCCUAAUAUCUUCGCCUUACGGUUUGCUGCGUUCCUCAUUCCAGCCGAAAGUAUUUUAUAAAGGACUAUAACACCUAAACCGAAGCCUAGGCUACAUUUCCUUUAUUUUUUUCCUUCCAACCAAAAUGUCGCUGGCAUACAUAAGCAGGCAAGUGCAUCCUUCCCAAAGGAAAGAUUGAUUACCUACCAGUAGGUCUGAUUUCAUACGGUUCCCUUUCAGCAAUUUCACGUACUUUUUGACCCUCUUUUCAAAGUGCUUUUCAUCUUUCCCUCACGGUACUUGUUCGCUAUCGGUCUUUCGUCAAUAUUUAGCUUUAGGAGAGAUUUACCUCCCAUUUUAGGCUGCAUUCCCAAACAACCUGACUCUUCGUUUCCAAGCCAAACGCCUAAUCAAAACUCAGGCCAAAGACGGGGAUUUCACCCUCUAUGUCGCCCCUUUCCAGAGGACUUAUUUACCUGGCUGACUAGACGACUUAAAAACUUUAGUUUACAAUCCGGGUGAGCUAUGCCCACCAGGUUCCAACUUUGAGCUUUUCCCUCUUCACUCGCCGUUACUAGGGGAAUCAUGUAUU
RNAcentral lists this ribosomal RNA (744 nucleotides) under uncultured zygomycete. RNAcentral describes it as "partial 28S ribosomal RNA". The record is from RNAcentral. Lineage: Eukaryota; Fungi.